UACGAAUGGUGCAAGCGUUAAUCGUAAUUACUGGGCGGAAAGCGCGCGUAGGUGGUUCGUUAAGUUGGAUGUGCAAGCCCCGGGCUCAACCUGGGAACUGCAUCCAAAACUGGCGAGCGAGAUGAUGGCAGAGGGUGGUGGAAGUUCCUGUGGAGCGGUGACAGGCGUCGAUAUAGGAAGGACAACCAGUGGCGAAGGCGACCACAUGGGAGAAUACUGAAACGGAGUUGCGCACUCGUUGUGAGCCCACAGGCGGCGAUCACACCGGAGUCC
This 273-nucleotide ribosomal RNA is filed under the name uncultured bacterium. RNAcentral describes it as "partial 16S ribosomal RNA". It matches the Rfam family "Bacterial small subunit ribosomal RNA", at positions 524 to 796 of the family's 1533-position model. The record is from RNAcentral.